RNAcentral lists this long non-coding RNA (2310 nucleotides) under Ananas comosus (pineapple). Its description in RNAcentral is "long non-coding RNA (ACOM_LNC027433)". Lineage: Eukaryota; Viridiplantae; Streptophyta; Magnoliopsida; Poales; Bromeliaceae. The record is from RNAcentral.
UUUAUAAAUUAAAGGAAAACCUUCAAAUACUAUCCAUAUGGUUUCACAUUUUCUCACUUUAAUAUCCUGUGGUUUAAAGUAUAUCAAUUUAGUAUCCCGUGGUUUUAUUUUUAUUUUUUUGUUAUUGAUUCCACUAAUUUUUUUUAUUAAAUCAGUAACAAAAUUAAAACUAAAGGGUACUAAAGUGAAUAUUCGAUAAACCUAGGUGCGGUAUCUAAAAUUUUUUGUAUAUAAUUUAACGAAAUAUUAACAGAAAAACUAACGAAAAUAUAAAAAUNACUCUGGGGUGGUACAAUGCUUCGUGUACUUUAAGCGCCUUUAAAGCCCAGCCAGUAACAGAAAAUCAACCUAACAACAUUUAGUUUUUCAAUCCCAAACUAAAACACCGCAUCUGAGCACUACCUACUCCCUACUCUGUUUCCCCCUGUUCCCUCUACCAUCUACACCAAAUUGAGGUAUCACGAUAGGCACUAGAAAUAGUUGUUGAGUAUAACAAUCAUUAAAAAAAAAAAAUCAUUGCUAUAUUAUUUUUUAUAUAUAUAUAUGGUAUUAGAAUAGCAGGUUCUAAAUUAGAAUCGAUUCUGAUUUAUAACAUAUUAAUAUAUUAUUCUCUGACAUUAUAAUUAAGCGUCAGAAGAAAAACAGUUAUUAGUUUCACAUUAUUUCACCAUACUUACAUUUGAUUGGUUGUUUGUAACUUUGUAUAACUAACUUUAAAUUUCUUUGUAGAAAAACCAACUUAAAAUUGUAGAGUAUGGGAUUCCUAAGUUGGUGUACUAAUUUUUGUUGAUUUGCCGACAAUGAUACCCUCGAAAUGCUCUUCGGAAUCGAUUAAUAUAAAGCUACAACCAACCAAAUGAUGCAAUGUAUUAUAAAAAGUGACCAUAAGUGAUCUAAUUAAAAACUACGAGGAAUGGAAGCUCAAAUGAUUAGGACUAAGCUAAAAUGUUGAUUGAUUCCUUUACAAUAAACUAUAGGAGUAUGUGAUUGAGCAACUGUGUACGAAAGGAUUUUUUUUUUUUUUUUUUUCUUUGAGAGAUAGGUAGCACGCUACCCACUUCGUUUUUUUUCAUUUAGAAAUAAGUUUAGCUGGAAAUGUGAAUCAACUAGGAUUCGAACUUGGGUCUCGGAUACCAACCACCAAGUCCUUUGCCACUUGCUCUAGGGACGGUCGGUGUGUACGAAAAGAUCUUAAUUGAUAAAAAUGAGGGUUAAACAAGAAAUUAAGAAAGUAGUUGUUUUUAACUGUUUAUUUGGCUCAGUUUUGAAACACUUUUUUUCAAAAUAAAAAGCAAGUAUCGAAAACCUAAUUAUGAGAUUAUCGGUAACUUUUAGGGUCCAUUUGGUUUAACGUAAAACCAUUAAAAAUAAUUUUUCGUGAAAAAAAAAUUGAUGAAAAAAAAUUUUACAUGUCAUAGUGGGAAAAGAAAUGUAAAUUUUCAUCCAUAUUUAUUUGGUUGAAAAGAAAAGUUUACAUUUAUUUUAUUCGGUAGAAAGAAUUAAAUAAAAAAUGUUUUUGGGCAGCUUGAGUUUUCUUAUUCCGCCGAAAUAUGGCAGAAAGCGAAAACUUCAAUUUUUUUUUGUAAAUUCAUAUAUCAAUCCAAACAAGAAAAAAAAUAUUUUUUUUUAUCAAAAGUAAUUUUUUGAUUUAUUUUACGCCCAUCCAAACGCUCCGUAGUGGAAGAGCUAAGUCUUAAUUUGUUGAGGUUUAUAAAUUAAAGAAAAACCUUCAAAUACUAUCAUAUGGUUUCACAUUUUCUCACUUUAAUACCCUGUGGUUUAAAGUAUAUCAAUAUAGUGUUCCGUGGAUUUAUUUUUAUUUUUUUGUUAUUGAUUCCACUAAUUUUUUUUGUUAAAUCAAUGACAAAAUUAAAACUAAAUGGUACUAAAGUGAAUAUUCGAUAAACCUAGGUGCGGUAUCUAAAAUUUUUUGUAUAUAAUUUAACGAAAUAUUAACAGAAAAACUAACGAAAAGAUAAAAAUAAAACUAUAAAACAUUAACUUGAUAUACUUUAAACUACAGUGAAAAAGUGUAAAAUUAUAAGAAUGGGGUUUGAAGUUUAUCCUAAAUUAAAAGAUGUGUGCGCAAGAACUUCUUCAUACAAAAUAAAAAAAACAGAUGAUCAAUUAAUAGCGUAACCACCGACCGUCCCUAGAGCAAGUGAUAAAGGACUUGAUCGUUGAUAUCCGAGACCCAAGUUCGAAUCCUAGUUGAUUCACAUUUCCAGUUAAGUUUAUUUUUAAAGGAAAUAAACAAAACGAGUAGCGUGCUAUCUAUUUCUCUAAAAAAAAUAAAUAAAUAAAUUAAUA